GACGAACGCUGGCGGCGUGCUUAACACAUGCAAGUCGAACGGAAAGGCCCUGCUUUUGUGGGGUGCUCGAGUGGCGAACGGGUGAGUAACACGUGAGUAACCUGCCCUUGACUUUGGGAUAACUUCAGGAAACUGGGGCUAAUACCGCAUAGGAGCUCCUGCUGCUGGGUGGGGGUUGGAAAGUUUCGGCGGUUGGGGAUGUACUCGCGGCUUAUCAGCUUGUUGGUGAGGUAGUGGCUUACCAAGGCUUGGACGGGUAGCCGACCUGAGCGGGUCACCGGCCACGACAGGACUGGGAUACGGCACAGACUACAACCGGACGCAACGGUGGAGAAUAUUGCACAAGGGGCUGAAGGCUGAUGUGACAACGCCGCGUGGGGUAUGAGAGGCAUCGGGUUGUGAACCACUGUCGCCUUAGACGAGACGUUAGUGACGGUAAUGGGUAAAGAAGCACCGGCUAACUACGUG
This 468-nucleotide ribosomal RNA is filed under the name uncultured bacterium. RNAcentral describes it as "partial 16S ribosomal RNA". It matches the Rfam family "Bacterial small subunit ribosomal RNA", at positions 28 to 507 of the family's 1533-position model. The record is from RNAcentral.